UAUGCGUACAAGCAGUGGGAGCCCACUUUGUUGGGUGACUGCGUACCUUUUGUAUAAUGGGUCAGCGACUUAUAUUCAGUGGCGAGCUUAACCGAAUAGGGGAGGCGUAGCGAAAGCGAGUCUUAACAGGGCGUUUAGUCGGAAGGAGCAGACGCGAAACCAAGUGAUCUACCCUUGGCCAGGUUGAAGGAUGGGUAACACCAUCUGGAGGACCGCACCAAUAAGCGUUGAAAAGCUUCUGGAUGAGCUGAGGGUGGGGGUGAAAGGCUAAUCAAACUUGGAGAUAGCUCGUACUCCCCGAAAUGCAUUUAGGUGCAGCCUUGAUUUAUACUGAUGUGAGGUAGAGCGACUGAUAAGAUGCGAGGGCUUCACCGCCUAUCAAGUCUUGACAAACUCCGAAUGCGCAUCAGUUCUAUAUCAGGAGUGAGGGCAUGGGUGCUAAGGUCCAUGUCCUAAAGGAGAAGAAUCCGGACCAUCAGCUAAGGUCCCGAAAUAACCGCUAAGUUGAACUAACGAAGUCAGAUUGCUAAGACAGCUAGGAUGUUGGCUUGGAAGCAGCCAUUCAUUUAAAGAGUGCGUAACAGCUCACUAGUCGAGGAGUUUGGCGUGGAUAAUAAUCGGGCAUAAGCGGUUUACCGAAGCUAUGGGAUAUGUAAAUAUCGGUAGGGGAGCAUUCCACUCUGCGUUGAAGGCGAAGCGUCAGCUUCUCUGGAGCGUGUGGAAACGCAAAUGUAGGUAUAAGUAACGAUAAAGGAGGUGAGAAACCUCCUCGCCGAAAGACUAAGGUUUCCUGAUCAACGCUAAUCGGAUCAGGGUAAGUCGGGUCCUAAGGUUAAGCCGAACGGCGAUACCGAUGGCCGAACAGGUUAAUAUUCCUGUACUACCUUAUAGAGUGACGUGGGGACGGAGUUGUGAAAGUGUCGCGGACUGACGGAAUAGUCCGUUGAAGGGUGUAGAUGUUGAUAGGCGUAGGCAAAUCCGCGCUUAGAGUCGAACCUGAUAGUAUGUGGCGUCCGCAAGGACAACGCAAUAGUACACGUAAGCAUGCUUCCAAGAAAAUCCGCUAAACAUAAUCUUUAAGGUACCCGUACCGUAAACGGACACACGUAGUCGGGAUGAAUAUUCUAAGGCGCUUGAGUGAAUCACGGUUAAGGAACUAGGCAAAUUGACCCUGUAACUUCGGAAUAAAGGGUCCUCAAUGCAAGUUGAGGCGCAGAGAAUAGGUCCAGGCAACUGUUUAACAAAAACACAGGGCUGUGCAAAAUCGAAAGAUCACGUAUACAGCCUGACACCUGCCCGGUGCUGGAAGGUUAAGAGGAGAUGUCAUCGCAAGAGAAGCAUUGAAUUGAAGCCCCAGUAAACGGCGGCCGUAACAAUAACGGUCCUAAGGUAGCGAAAUUCCUUGUCGGGUAAGUUCCGACCUGCACGAAUGGUGUAACGAUCUGGGCACUGUCUCAACCGUGAGCUCGGUGAAAUUGUAGUAGCGGUGAAGAUGCCGCUUACCCGCAACGGGACGGAAAGACCCCGUGAACCUUUACUGCAGCUUUGCAUUGAUUUUGGGUAACAGAUGUGUAGGAUAGGUCGGAGGCUUUGAUGCUGCGUCGUCAGGCGUAGAG
This 1616-nucleotide ribosomal RNA is filed under the name freshwater metagenome. RNAcentral's name for it is "bacterial LSU rRNA". It matches the Rfam family "Bacterial large subunit ribosomal RNA", at positions 559 to 2182 of the family's 2925-position model. The record is from RNAcentral.